UAACAUACAACAAAAAAAUUU
RNAcentral lists this non-coding RNA (21 nucleotides) under Caenorhabditis elegans. Lineage: Eukaryota; Metazoa; Nematoda; Chromadorea; Rhabditida; Rhabditidae. The record is from RNAcentral.